Molecule: non-coding RNA, 1365 nt
Organism: Pelobates cultripes (western spadefoot toad)
Lineage: Eukaryota; Metazoa; Chordata; Amphibia; Anura; Pelobatidae
Source: the annotation of a GenBank genome assembly
CUUUGGGUGGUUUUGUAGGACGAACAUCCUCAAGAUGAACGUCCUACCCAGAAUACUAUACAUACUGCAAGUGCUCCCUAUAACUAUUCCCAAGUCCUGGUUCACUACAGUCCGAAAAACACUCACCACAUUUAUCUGGGCUCACAAAUCUCCACGAAUAUCGUACUCAUUACUCACAAAACCUAAAGACAGGGGCGGCCUGGGUCUGCCUGAUGUUGAAACAUACCACAACGCAAUACUACUAUCCAGGAUAUACGACUGGUCCCUCCCGAAUUCCGGGAAACAAUGGGUGACCUUAGAAGACUCCUUUUUCAGAGUACCUAUUUACACAAUACCCUGGCACAAAUCAGGGCAAGUACUCAUGCUCCACAACCCACAUCCCACCAUCACACCGACCCUUCGCAUGUGGGCGACCAUUCGCACACACAACCUGAUGUCGCCCUACCCAUCGCCACUAUACCCGCUCACACAUAACCCCCUAUUCCAGCCGGGAGUAGACGGCAAAUCUCUCCGGGCCUUCCAUACAACACCAUAUCUGACAUUGGAGAAUGCCUUGACAACUGUCGGGGCAAAAGUAACAAAGCCCUUACAAGCAUUUAUAACUAACCCUACAGCUAUGCAAACGUAUCAGUACAGGCAACUGACACACUUUAUUCAAUCUAAAUCCCUAACCCCCACCGGCAGCCGUGCACAGACUAACUUUGAAAAAUGCUGUUCCCUCCAAUCCAUAAGAACAAAACACAUAUCAACAAUGUACUCCCACAUUCUAUCCACAAGGCCACAACAAUUGCCGACCUUCACUACCACUUGGGAAAAAGAGUUAAACCUCGUAAUACAGCCCGACAAAUGGAAACGGAUUUUUAAACAAAUACACAAAUCCUCAAAAAACACAACUACACAGGAAAGUAACUAUAAAAGAAUAACGAGGUGGCAUUACACACCCUCAAAACUACACUCCCUAUUCCCCGCAACCUCCAAACAAUGUUGGCGCUGCCACUCAGCAGUGGGCACCACCUCGCAUAUUUGGUGGUCAUGCCCAGUGAUACAAACAUUUUGGACACGCGUGGCAGGCCUGAUCCACGCCAUACUCAAGAUAACUGUCCCCUUAGACCCAGACACAUACAUAUUCCUCCUCACCCCAUACGGCUUACCGAAACAUACGGCAGCCCUGCUCAUACAUCUGAUAACAGCGGCGAACCAGCUUAUCCCAGCCCUAUGGAAACAACCAAACCCCCCGACCAUACGCGAGUGGAUACAAAAAGUAGAAAAUACCAGAAGUCUAGAAGAAACGUGCUAUGCCCUAUCAAACCAAUACCAACACUACACAGAGACCUGGUACCCCUGGACCCAAUACCUCCGCCAGAC